AGGCUCAAGAGAACAGGUAACAGAUAUCAAGGCUUAUUUUCCUAUUUCCUUGACCCCAGGGCCUGGCUGGAUGUGGGAGUGACGGGACAAAGUUGGAGUGCUCGUCUAUGGAAUCUGUGCCCUUUGUGUGGAAAACAAUACCUCCAGGCCUUGGCCCCUCCCUGUGAUGGGUGAGGAACUCGGCUUAUUCCUGGGGACAGAGGCCUGCCACCAGAGAGGCCAUAGGCUGGAGCAAGGGCUGACUCACAGGGUAGCGAGGAAACGGCCUGGAUCUUUGACCAGGGCCACCCCUCCUAAGCAAUCGCGUUAUGGAUGGGUCCCCAACUCAUACAAAAGUAUCAUAAAACAUUGGGGAGGCUUGUAACACUGCCCUUUAAAGAAAGGAGAGAGCCGACCAUGGAGGUGCCCCUGCAGCAGCCUUGACGAACUCCUAGCACUUGCCCCAAUUUCCAUCUCCUAGAGUGCUGUGCCUGAAAGUCAGUGGCCACGGUGUGAGCGUGUGCACAGCAGGACAGACAGAUGUGAAGACUACAGGGGGCUCUGGGUAGAGUUUAAAUGUGGGCAAAAGACUUCUUGCUGAGCAGUUCACGCUGAAAGGAAUUUAGUGUGUCCCUUGGUGAGUAGCCUGGGAGGGUAGCUGGAGAUCUACCACUGCAGUGCUUCUCCAAAAAUUGCUUUCAGGUUUUACAGUAACAUGGAUGCUAUUUUGACGGCCAAGUUUUUGAUGAACAAAGCAGUAAAACCACAAGAAGUACUUACAUUUUCAUCAUGCAAGAGGAAAGAAAAAUUUGGAUCUCUGAGGUUUCUAAUAAACCAGAAAAAAAACCCA
RNAcentral lists this long non-coding RNA (829 nucleotides) under Bos indicus x Bos taurus (hybrid cattle). RNAcentral describes it as "lncRNA (ENSBIXG00005014712.1)". Lineage: Eukaryota; Metazoa; Chordata; Mammalia; Artiodactyla; Bovidae. The record is from RNAcentral.